AAAUUUCUCCCUUCCACUUUUUUUCAAAUUACAUGAAUGUAACAGUAAAUAUCUCUUUCGGUUUAGAAAAACGGCAAAAAAAAAAAAAAAAAAAAAAAGCUAAACCUAAAACCAUCCUUAUUUCCGUCUCUCUUCCAAAAGUGUUUCUACAAAAACCUAAACCUAAGUCUCCUUUCGUCUGUCGCUCUCCCUCUUUCGGUUCUCCUUCUCCAGAAUCCGGAUGCAUGUAAAAUUGAUGUCUUCCAUUUUUGAUGAUACAUGAAUUUUGGGUUUGAUUUUACUGGACUGUUGAAUUCUCCUUGAACUUCUUCUCAUAAGUUUCCUUAUUGUGAUACAACAAACUCAUCGUCUAAAAAUAUUUUUUUCAGGUAAUACCAGGCUUGGUUGCAGAAGCAUUAAUGGUUGCAGAAGCCAGAAGCAUGAUGUUUCUUUUCUUUUCUUUUGCAGGUACGAGUUUUGAUCUGUUAGUUUCGUUACAGGUUUCACCCACAAUAGGAGAAAUCGAAGCCAUGAAAUUGUGAUCUGCUAUUCAAUCCCGUUAAUCCAGUUACCAAAAAAUAGGGUUCUUUUCUCUAUCAAUUGUUCAUGCGUUAAGGGGGAAAAAAAUAGGGUUCUUCUCUCUACGGUCGCCCUCUAUUCACUUCCAUCCUUUUUUUUCAAUUUCUUUUGCACAUUCAGAUUUUCUUUGCUAACCUAUCUGUGACGUAUGAUCAUUCAAUAGUGUUUUUUUGGUUAAUUUGGUUGUAAUAUGAUUAUUUGAUUGGUUGAAUGAUCCAUCUUUCCAUUUGUA
Molecule: long non-coding RNA, 790 nt
Organism: Papaver somniferum (opium poppy)
Lineage: Eukaryota; Viridiplantae; Streptophyta; Magnoliopsida; Ranunculales; Papaveraceae
Exons: 2
Source: RefSeq, a predicted model, not a curated record